This 730-nucleotide long non-coding RNA is filed under the name Theobroma cacao (cacao). RNAcentral's name for it is "long non-coding RNA (TCAC_LNC004716)". The record is from RNAcentral. Lineage: Eukaryota; Viridiplantae; Streptophyta; Magnoliopsida; Malvales; Malvaceae.
GGAUUUGCAGAAGAGAAACUCACUUGGUAAGAUGACUUCUGGCCAUUGUUCGUGAAUUGCAGCUUGUCUGGAACCACUUGAACAUCUAGGCCUGCAGGUGCAUCAAUGCUUACGGUGUAGACUGUUUUAUCAUCUUCGGCAACAUUUGUAAGGGUUCUGUUCACUUUCCUGCCUGCUUUUUCAUUGAAAUUGGAAAUCGCUAUUGAUGGAUAAUUGAUGUUGGAUAUAAGAUCGAUGCUUGACUCCUCGGGGCAAGUAAACCCAUCUGGGAUGGUGUUGGUGAUAAUUUUGAUUGUAGAUAUAUUAUAACCAUAGUAGCAGAGAAAAUUCAAAUAGUCAAUGGUGGUAGUCUCGUAAACUAGGCCAGGUUGCAAUGGUCCUGUUGUGCUUACUUCUCCUGCACCGAAAUCAUAAGGUGUAGCUGCUGCACCUUUGUCUGUCGUAAUUGGGGCUUUCAAAUUAUUUGUUUGAGUUGCUGUAAAUUGGUUGUAAGCAGUCAUAGAUUAGUCAAAAGUCCAGACUUUGUCAUGUACAUGCGCAUGUAGAUUUGCUUGUCAGUCCCUCACCUGUUGUCAUAAUGGCAGACCUGAUUGCGGAGGGACUCCAUUUAGAGUUUCUUGAUUUGACCGUGGCGGCAAUCCCAGAAACAUGUGGACAUGCCAUCGAAGUUCCUGAGAUCACAUUAUACAGUGGUGGGUCUUUGCCUUCUGGAGCCUCAGCCGUGUCAUUU